CGGAGGUAGCGGCUCAAAUCAUCUUCUGGAGGCCUUUGAGUCGCGAGCCCCAAAGCAGCCGCUCCCCUGCCGCACCACCCUGGCCAGGGGCUCGUCGACCCCUUUUGCAGAUACAGAAACUGAGGCUUGGAUAUUCUUUUAAUGGCAUCAUAGCUAAUGCUGGGCUGUGCCAAGAUUAGAACUUGGAGGGAAGCUCUGACUGGGGUUGGAAGCCCAGCUGGACAGAUUUAUCCAAAUGAUCGCCUGCGGGGAAUUGACCCGGGCCACUUGCACCUCUUUUCCCUUCCACUCCCCUGGGUCUUGAGUCAGGAGGAUUCUCCCGGCAUUGCAAGGACAGAGGGUCCCGACCUGGGAAUCAUCGCCAGGCACAGGCCUUCUGGGAUGGGGGCAGUUUGGGAGAGGAGCUGACUGGAACGGAAUGUGGGGUGUAGGGUUAGGGGAAGCACAGAAGGUGAGGUUGGAAAGAUUGAAGGUGGUGAGGGGACCAAGACCUGCUUAGGGGCCUGAAACUUACUCUUUAGGUGGCGGAAGCCUCCGGCGGGUUUUAAGCAGGAAGUGAUAACUGAUUUAUGAAAAAAAAAAUCACUCUGGCAUCCUUGUGGUAGGAAAUGAAACCAGAAGCAGGGCAAUUUUCAUUUUUAUGGUGACAGUUUGAGUCUCACCGCAAGUCAGCGGGCAGGAC
Molecule: long non-coding RNA, 682 nt
Filed under: Marmota monax (woodchuck)
Lineage: Eukaryota; Metazoa; Chordata; Mammalia; Rodentia; Sciuridae
Source: RNAcentral